This 774-nucleotide ribosomal RNA is filed under the name uncultured Neocallimastigales. RNAcentral's name for it is "partial large subunit ribosomal RNA". It matches the Rfam family "Eukaryotic large subunit ribosomal RNA", at positions 24 to 649 of the family's 3401-position model. The record is from RNAcentral. Lineage: Eukaryota; Fungi; Neocallimastigomycota; Neocallimastigomycetes; Neocallimastigales.
AUGUGAUCGUCUCUCGCAUAUCAAUAAGCGGAGGAAAAGAAACUAACAAGGAUUCCCCUAGUAACGGCGAGUGAAGCGGGAAGAGCUCAAAUUUGAAAUCUUAAAGGGUUUCCCUUUACGAAUUGUAGUUUAAAGAAGUGUUUUCUGUUGAGGUUUUGGUAAAAGUUCUUUGGAAUAGGACAUCAUAGAGGGUGAGAAUCCCGUAUUUGACCUUUACUUUCAGCUUUGUGAUACACUUUCAAAGAGUCGGAUUGUUUGGGAAUGCAGUCCAAAAUGGGUGGUAAAUUUCAUCUAAAGCUAAAUAUUGGCGAGAGACCGAUAGCGAACAAGUACCGUGAGGGAAAGAUGAAAAGAACUUUGAAAAGAGAGUUAAACAGUACGUGAAAUUGUCAAAAGGGAAGCGUUUGACACCAGUGUUGUUUUUCUGAAAAUCAAUUAAAGAACUGUUUAUGCUAAGUUGUUUCAGACUUUAUCAGCUAUCUGUUUAGUUUUGAGCUUUUCUUUAAUGCACUUUUCAGUUAACAAGUCAACAUCAAUUUCUUUUGCUGUAAAAAAGCUUGAGGAAGGUGGCUUGAGAUUCGUCUUAAGUGUUUAUAGCCUCUUGCCUAUGCAGUCGGAGAGAUUGAGGUCUGCAGCGUAGAUCCUUCGGGGCUAAAUGCAUUUGUGCUAAGUUAUAACAUUUUAUAGACAACUUGUUGACUAUGAUUUGUCUUGUAGCUUACUCGCUUAUGUUAUUUUACCUACGCUUAGGAUGUUGAGUAGCGACAUACGCAC